CGGCUCCGGGCGCCCACGCGGCCUCCCCCUGCCGAGGCCGGAACGCCCCUUCUCACGUGACCGCCGCUUCCGAGCCUCCCGGGCAAAGGUCCUGGGGGCGGGUCACGUGGCCAAGAGGCGCGGGUGCCUGGGGCAGCCGCCUGGAGACUCGCGGGCGCCGAGUGCGCGCGGGUCAAGCCAGGGGCGGAGUCAGGGCCCGUUACCUGGCCCCGGGCGUUGCCUUGGCGACAGUGUCAGUUACUGGCUGCUCCCCCUCCCCCCGGCGAUGAGGGCGGUGACUGGGGACCUCUCUCCUCUCCCCUCCCCCACAGAAGUGGCAGCCUCCUUAGGGGCUCCUGCAGGCAGUACUAAGCAGACGGGAAGCGCACUGAUGAGCGGCUCCGGGUGUCACAGACACGCCCCACCAGCUUCCGGUCCAGAAUUGACCUAUAGCUUCAUGGCUUAUCCGUGUAGGAAUGGCGUUGGGCUCAUCUUGGGCAGCACCUGUCUCCCUUGCAUCAGUGUCCCUUGUCAAAACAAUCCGAGUGCCUGGGACCCCUGCAACGAGCGUGUGCUGCAGACCUGCAGGAUCGGUUGACGCUACGCACGUCUCAUGCGGCGCCUCAUGGUCUCAGACACCAUCCGAUGGUCCAGGGACAUCUACAUCGAGCACAUCACCGGCCACCGACAGUACCAGGAGGCGUGAGCCAGUGUGACAUAGUUCUCCCACUACAAGAAAGGGACCAAGUGAUCACCUCCGUUGGAUCAUAUGAACUGGAACCAUAAACUCCCUGAACAUUAAAUCUCACCAAAUGAGAGUCAAUCCAUCCUCAUCAUCAUAUCCACUCAUUAUAAUCUACACCCGAACAUAGCCACUUUAUGAACUUCAUACCCUCAUAUCUCAAUGUCUAUACUUUGACCCAUCAACCUUUUACCCCCAAUCGGGGAUAUUGCAGAUUAUGUAUUCCUCAUGCCACCUUAUCUUAAACCAAACUUUGCACCCUCGAUAAUCUGUAUGUUAUUCCCUGAUAACCAGAAACUUCUAUGCUCAAACUCUGUUCAGUAUUUUUUUAACAUCAUCUUAAUAAAAUUUUUA
Malaclemys terrapin pileata is the source of this 1075-nucleotide long non-coding RNA. RefSeq lists it as uncharacterized. The record is from RefSeq and is a predicted model, not a curated record. NCBI's taxonomy places the organism in Eukaryota, Metazoa, Chordata, Testudines, Emydidae. The transcript is spliced from 3 exons.